CUUUCACAUCAUGUCUCUUUCCCUGAUAGGAUCUUAGUGGACGAAUACACAGGGAGAGAAGUAAACGUUCACAUUCAAAGAAGCUCGAGAUCAGAAAAACAUCACAGCUGAGUCUGGACAGAACGUCACACUGACAUGUCAAGCUCCAAACAACAAAACAAUCAGAGUUGUAAAGUGGAGCAGAGCUGACCUGAAAGAUGAAUAUGUUCUUUUGUACCGGGAUGAUCAGUUUGUUCCAGAUGACCAGCAUCCAUCUUUUAAGAACCGGGUGGAUCUGCAGGACAGACAGAUGAAGGAUGGAGACGUGUCUUUGAUUCUGAAGAAUGUGACGAUUAAUGACGCUGGAAUUUACAGAUGUCGUAUUGUUGAGGGAGUCAGACAACCUAUGAAGCUGAUCAGCAUCAUCUACCUUCAUGUUGAUCCUCCAGGUCACACAAGAGGAUCUGUUGGCCUGAUCGUUGGUCUGUCAGUUUCUGCUGUGGUUCUUGUUGCUACUGUUGUUGGAUUUUUGAUGUACAGAAAACAUAAACAGCAGAAUCAGGAUCCAUACGAGCCUCCUGAGUAAUUGCAGCAUAUUUGAAAUGUCUUUGAGUGUUUUCGGUGAUGAUGUAAGAGAAGUAUCACUACGGUAAAAUGCAAAAUGGAGUUCAACUGCCAAAUAUCCAAUUUAAAAACCAAAGAGGUUGAGAACCAGGAGCUGCUGAUCUUUCAGCCUGAGACUUGCAACAUUUAAAAAAAUAACACACUUUAAAAUCUGUGGGUUUAGACUCUGAUGACAUCCUGCAAGGAUAAACAUUCAUUGUAUUCUCUAGUUUAAUGAGAUAAAAUGAUGAUAAAUGAUAAAAUGCCUAUUAGAUUAAGUUCAACAUUUUACAACAUUUUUACAUGUAAGUUUUUUACCUUUGAGCAGGUUUUUGUAAAACUAUACAUGAUAAUAAUAAUAAUUGUUAGUAGUAAGAUUACACUCUUACAUCUUAAACCAAGUUUUAUUUCUUUAGAUUUUGCUGUGGAAAUUAGAAGUUGCAGCAAUAUAUUGAAACAAGCAUACAUGGAAAUACAGCAGAUAAGGUGAAACCAGAGUUUGUACAGUUCUAAUAAGCUCUGUUUGUUUGACUGAUGGCCCUUAAUAUAAAGACUUUGGACUUUACGUUUCCCAAUUUUUGCUUUAAGUUAUUUUGUUAUUUACAUAAUAAUGUAGAUAACCUAAUAAUGAUCCUUAUUGC
Oreochromis aureus is the source of this 1223-nucleotide long non-coding RNA. RefSeq lists it as uncharacterized. The record is from RefSeq and is a predicted model, not a curated record. Lineage: Eukaryota; Metazoa; Chordata; Actinopteri; Cichliformes; Cichlidae. The transcript is spliced from 3 exons.